This 480-nucleotide ribosomal RNA is filed under the name uncultured bacterium. RNAcentral describes it as "partial 16S ribosomal RNA". It matches the Rfam family "Bacterial small subunit ribosomal RNA", at positions 35 to 507 of the family's 1533-position model. The record is from RNAcentral.
GGGGGGGGGGGGGGGGGGGGUGGGGGCGGGCGGGUGGGGCGAUGAGGCUUGAGGUGAGCGGUUCGGGGCGGAGAUAAAGUGGAUUGGCGGCGGACGGGUGAGUAACACGUGAGUAACCUGCCUUAGACAUUGGGAUAGCCUCGGGCAACCGGGUUGAAUACCACAUCAAAUGAUAAUUACACAUGUCCUAACGCUCACAACUCCGGUGGUCUAAGCUGGACUCGUGUCCCAUUAGCUAGGUGGUAGAGUAAAAGACUACCAAGGCGACGAGGGGGAGCCGGAGUGAGAGGGGGAACGGUCAAAGUGGAACUGAGACACGGUCCAAACUCCUACGGGAGGCAGCAGAUGGGAAUAAUGGACAAGGGAGGGAACGCAGAUGCAGAGACGCCGCGUGAACGAAGAAGGCUUUCGAGUCGGAAAGUUAUUUUAAAUGGGAAGAUAAUGACGGUACCAGAAGAAAAAGCACCGGCUAACUACGUG